Molecule: long non-coding RNA, 2078 nt
Filed under: Mus spicilegus (steppe mouse)
Lineage: Eukaryota; Metazoa; Chordata; Mammalia; Rodentia; Muridae
Description: lncRNA (ENSMSIG00000010204.1)
Source: RNAcentral
GGAGCAGGUGGGCAGGCCCGUGGCUGGGGGAAUCCGUUAUCGGGGCUCGGGAUCCAUUGGCGCCAACAACUUCUCCCGCGAAGUAGCAGAAGCGCGGGCGGCGGCGCGCGGCGAUGACGUCGGAGGCGCGCGUUCCCCGCGGCCCCGCCCCGAGGCGGGAGCUGCGCACUGGGUGCAGGACCACAGCCCUAGCAACCGAAGGGUUGCUACCUUGUAGGACAGCGAGUGCGCGUGCGAUCGUGGCCGGGAGACGCCCAAUUUGGGAUCUGAGGCUGACUUCCUCUAAGCCGGGUUCCCAGGUGGCUUCCUUCCUGCAGUACACGCACGUGCUGCAAGGGCAGUGCUCUGUAGCCGCUUCCAGAAGUUCUUACUGCCACCACGGUAGGAUGAAGUGUAUUCGAGGCGCCCCGCAAAGAUGGAGUGACAAGCUGUGGUCAGAGAACAACUUUCGGGGAACCUUCCAUCACAGUUUGAGUCUCGAGUGCCUGAAGAGAACAACUGGUUGCGCACAUUUUCUAGGAUGAAUGAGUAUGUCUCCGGAUCCUGAUGACGUCAGAGUUUGAGAGGCUGCGGUCCCCGGAAUUGGAUGAUGCCCUUUCUACCGCGGGAGUCAACCCGGCAGUCUCCUCCCAUCCAUCGUUCUCUAGACACUGUCAUGAUUUAGAGUUAUAAACUUAUUUCUUUAUAGUUUGUGUAUAUUAUAGUAACAAAGCAUUUUUGUGUGUGGAGAAAACAUAUUUUGCCUGUCUUUUCAACACCCCCCCCCACACACACACACACACACUGGAGCUACAGACACCUAUGGCCGUAUCAACUUAAAAAACAAAACAACAAUACAAAACCCCGGAGUCUCACUAUAUGACACUCACUGGCCCAGAACUCACUAUGUAGAUCAGGCAGACCUAGAGCUCCCAGAGAUCUGUCUGCCUCUGCCUCCAGCCCUGGAAUUAAAGGUGUGCACCGCCGCAGCAAGCAAGUUUUCUCUUUUUGCAUUUUUACGGGGAAUUCAAACGCAACACCUCAGGCCUGCAUAGGAAAUGCUUUUACCCCCUAACCAUGUGCCCAACCCCAAUAGAACCUUUCCAAUGCCAAAUUUUAAGUGUUUAUUGCUGGUGUGCAAGAAAGCAAUUAACUGGCUUUUCUAUAUUAUCUUGCAUCUUAUAUCCUAGUUGUUUGUUUGAACCCGGUUUUUCAGUUGAUUAAUUUUGGGAUUUUUUUUCAUAAACAAUCAUGAUCACCUAUGAGCUUACAGUUUUAUUUGUUGCUUCCUAGUGUGUGUGUUUUGUUUCCUUUUCUUGGAUUACCUAGAGAUUCUACUGCGGUACUGGAUCAAGUGAAGAAGAUAGAGUAUUAGGGAAGCCCAAAGAUCAGUCAGCAGGAACUCACACACACACACACACACACACUAACACACACAUCAGUGAGAGUCCACAUCUUUGCCUCCUCCUGCUUUGGUAGGAAAACAUCUAGUUUCUCAUUAAGAAAUUUUACUUUCACUGAGAUACACAGAUAUACAUUUUGUUUAAUCUUUAAGGUUUUUUUUUUUAAGAUUUGUUUACUUAUUCUUAUUUUAUGUGAGUGUAUCUGUUUGCCCAUAUAUAUAUAUAUAUAUAUAUAUGACGCGUAUGCCUGGAGCCUUUGGAGGUCAGAAAAGGGCAUCAGAUUCCCUCAACUAGAAUUGCAGCUGGUUGUGGGCUGCCAUGUGAGUGCUGGGAAUCAAACUCAAGACCUCUGCAAGAGGAACAAGUGCUCUUAACUGAUGAACUACUUUCCAGCCUCUGUAAAUACAGUUGUUUUUUUUAUUAAAUACAUAAAUAUAUAUAUAUAUAUAUAUAUAUAUAUAUAGAGAGAGAGAGAGAGAGAGAGAGAGAGAGAGAGAGAGAGAGGCUGGAGAGAUGGCUCAGCGGUUAAGCGCACUGACUGCUCUUCCAAAGGUCCAGAGUUCAAAUCCCAGCAACCACAUGGUGGCUCACAACCACCUGUAAUGGGAUCUGACGCCCUCUUCGGGAGUGUCUGAAGACAACUACAGUGAACUUACAUAUAAUAAACGAAUAAAUAAAUCUUUAAAAAAAAAAGAA